RNAcentral lists this unclassified non-coding RNA (216 nucleotides) under Hevea brasiliensis (rubber tree). Lineage: Eukaryota; Viridiplantae; Streptophyta; Magnoliopsida; Malpighiales; Euphorbiaceae. The record is from RNAcentral.
CAUUUGGAGGGAAACUUUUCAACUGAAGAAGCAACUGUGGUCUUUGAUCUAGCUUCAGAAUGUUUACAGUAUGAACCUAGAGAGAGGCCAAAUACAAAGGAUCUUGUUGCUACUCUUGCACCACUGCAAAAUAAACCAGAUGUUCCAUCUUAUGUGAUGCUUGGAAUUCCAAAGCAUGAGGAAGCACCGCCUACUCCACAACACCCUCUUUCUCCA